Molecule: ribosomal RNA, 418 nt
Filed under: uncultured bacterium
Lineage: Bacteria
Description: bacterial SSU rRNA
Rfam family: Bacterial small subunit ribosomal RNA
Source: RNAcentral
AAUAUUGGUCAAUGGAUGCAAGUCUGAACCAGCCAUGCCGCGUGCAGGAAGAAGGCCUUCUGGGUUGUAAACUGCUUUUGCCGGGGGAUAAAAAGCCCAUGCGUGGGACAUUGAAGGUACCCGGUGAAUAAGCUACGGCUAACUACGUGCCAGCAGCCGCGGUAAUACGUAGGUGGCAAGCGUUGUCCGGAUUUAUUGGGUUUAAAGGGUGCGUAGGCGGCCCUGUAAGUCAGUUCUGAAAUAUCCCGGCUUAACCGGGAGGGUGGGAUUGAUACUGCGGGGCUUGAGUGAACUCGAGGUAGGCGGAAUUGACGGUGUAGCGGUGAAAUGCUUAGAUAUCGUCAAGAACACCGAUAGUGUAGACAGCUUACUAGAUUUUAACUGACGCUGAGGCACGAAAGUGUGGGGAUCAAACAGG